UACGGGGGGGGCGAGCGUUGUUCGGAAUUAUUGGGCGUAAAGGGUGCGUAGGCGGUGCGGUAAGUUUGGUGUGAAACCUCCAGGCUCAACUUGGAGCUUGCACCAAAAACUGCCGUGCUAGAGUGUGGGAGAGGAGAGUGGAAUUCCCGGUGUAGCGGUGAAAUGCGUAGAUAUCGGGAGGAACAUCGGUGGCGAAGGCGGCUCUCUGGACCACUACUGACGCUGAGGCACGAAAGCCAGGGGAGCAAACAGG
This 253-nucleotide ribosomal RNA is filed under the name uncultured bacterium. RNAcentral's name for it is "partial 16S ribosomal RNA". It matches the Rfam family "Bacterial small subunit ribosomal RNA", at positions 524 to 776 of the family's 1533-position model. The record is from RNAcentral.